CGUCAUCAGACUUACUCUGCCAGUGCGGAGCGCCGCUUCCGAGACGCUCGCGCAUUGGCCGCACAUCCUCUUGAACAUUCAUCUCCAUUCCCCUUAGCCCCAGAGCACGAAGCCAUGGCUUCCAGCUUGAGCCACCUCUCUCCUCUUAGUACUGAGUGCUACAUAGAAGACAAUGAAAAUUGGUGGGGAAAGAACUCAGUCUUCAAGCAAAAGCACUAUAUCUCAUCCCCUGCACUUCCCUCAUCCACUUAGCUGCCCUUGCUCUACAUUUGACCUCAUUCUGGGGGCCUGACUGGCCAUGUCAUCCACCUGUGUGGCGAUGCUGUACUUUGCCAGUGGCCGCAGCAUCAACAGGAUGUUAUCCUGUGAGGUACUGUGAAGAGAGGAAACAAGACUUUGGGGGUUUUGCAGAGGACGGAGAGAAAGAACAAGAAGAGUCAAGGGGUAUCCUGUGAUGAGGGUCUUGGUCACAUACCAGAUGUCUAAUAAACAACUCCGAGCUUCCACAAACCUAUUCACCAGACAGUUCAAGUGGCCCAGGAUUGUGGCUGUGGCAUCAGUCGUUGCAAUUUGUGUAAGUAUAGUUCUUUCCGCCUGUCCUAUCCAUCCACAGAACCUGAACCAGUGACUUUCAUCUAGAAGGAGAAGGCUGUCCCCUAGACAAACUAAUCAGGAAAACAGAAUAAAAACACAAAUUAUCAAUAUCAGGAAUGCAAGAGGCGUCAUCAAUACAUACCUUACAGAUGUUACGAUAAUGAGAUACUAUGAACAAAUUUAAGCCAACAAAUUAUAAAUCUUUGAUGCAGUUAACAAAUUUCUUAAAAGACAAAAAACAAUUAAAAAUGACUCAAAAAGAAAUAUACUUCAUGAAUAGUCCUGUAUCUAUUGUGGGAAUUGAAUUUGUAGUUAAAAAAUCUUCCAGAGAGAAUACAUCAUUAUCAAGUAGUUUACUCUAGGUGUACAGGGCUGAUGCAACAUUCAAACAUCAACAGGGAUUUUAAGUAUAUUCCACCAUAUUAAAAACAAAUGAUUAUCUCAAUAGAUACAGAAAAAGCAUUUGAUGAAUCUCAACAUCUAUUCAUGAUUAAAAAUCUUAGCGAACUAUAAAUAAAAGGGAAUAUACUUGAGAUAUGGAGAAGGCGA
This is a long non-coding RNA of Bubalus bubalis (water buffalo), 1143 nucleotides long. RefSeq lists it as uncharacterized. Lineage: Eukaryota; Metazoa; Chordata; Mammalia; Artiodactyla; Bovidae. The transcript has 4 exons. The record is from RefSeq and is a predicted model, not a curated record.